RNAcentral lists this unclassified non-coding RNA (250 nucleotides) under Hevea brasiliensis (rubber tree). The record is from RNAcentral. Lineage: Eukaryota; Viridiplantae; Streptophyta; Magnoliopsida; Malpighiales; Euphorbiaceae.
GAUAAAAUAAAAUUUAAAAUUAAAUUAUUUUAAAUUAAAAAACAAUUAACGACCAUAACUAAUUUGUUAACAGAAUUGUUAACAGAAUUUGUUAACCUAUGAAUUUUUUUAUACAUUAGAGAUUUAAUUAUAAUUUACUCUUUUGAAAAAAUAAAAAUGGCCAAUAUAUGCAUGGUUUAUUACAGAUCUAAUAGUAGUUUUGGUGAUUAUUAGGGGAUUUGGUAUGUAAUGAUGUCAGGGACUGCGGUAC